GACGUAGGGCGCGAGCGUUGUCCGGAUUUAUUGGGCGUAAAGAGCUCGUAGGCGGCUUGUCGCGUCGUCCGUGAAAACCCACAGCUCAACUGUGGGCUUGCGGUCGAUACGGGCAGGCUAGAGUUCGGUAGGGGAGACUGGAAUUCCUGGUGUAGCGGUGAAAUGCGCAGAUAUCAGGAGGAACACCGGUGGCGAAGGCGGGUCUCUGGGCCUUACCUGACGCUCAGGUGCGAAAUCUAGGGGAGCGAACAGG
This 253-nucleotide ribosomal RNA is filed under the name uncultured bacterium. Its description in RNAcentral is "partial 16S ribosomal RNA". It matches the Rfam family "Bacterial small subunit ribosomal RNA", at positions 524 to 776 of the family's 1533-position model. The record is from RNAcentral.